RNAcentral lists this unclassified non-coding RNA (346 nucleotides) under soil metagenome. Its description in RNAcentral is "partial contains 5.8S ribosomal RNA, internal transcribed spacer 2, and large subunit ribosomal RNA". The stretch from base 1 to 121 matches the Rfam family "5.8S ribosomal RNA", at positions 35 to 154 of the family's 154-position model. The record is from RNAcentral.
GAUGAAGAACGUAGCGAAAUGCGAUAAGUAAUGCGAAUUGCAGAAUUUCCGUGAAUCAUCGAGUCUUUGAACGCACAUUGCGCCCCCUGGUAUUCCGGGGGGCAUGCCUGUCCGAGCGUCAUUGCUGCCCUCAAGCACGGCUUGUGUGUUGGGCCUCCGUCCUCCUCCCGGGGGACGGGCCCGAAAGGCAGCGGCGGCACCGCGUCCGGUCCUCGAGCGUAUGGGGCUUCGUCACCCGCUCUUGUAGGCCCGGCCGGCGCUUGCCGACACAUCAAUCUUUUUUCCAGGUUGACCUCGGAUCAGGUAGGGAUACCCGCUGAACUUAAGCAUAUCAAUAAGCGGAGGA